AGUUGGUGGUUGCCUGUAAUUGAUUUGAAGUCAUUUUUUUCUCUUGGUGAAGGGAUGCUUGCUU
RNAcentral lists this transfer RNA (64 nucleotides) under Metorchis orientalis. Its description in RNAcentral is "tRNA-Ser". Lineage: Eukaryota; Metazoa; Platyhelminthes; Trematoda; Opisthorchiida; Opisthorchiidae. The record is from RNAcentral.